CCCCCUCCCCAGAGAGAUGAGGCAGAGGCAGCAGCCCCACGUGGAAGACACCCCUGCUCACGCCGGAAGCAGUCGGUUUCCUCUGCAGGGUGCUGGAGCUCCGGCCAACCUCCUUAACAGCAGGUUUUUUUGUGGAAUCUUUAGGAUUUUCUACAUCUCAGAUCACACCACCUACCAACAGAGGUCUUUUUUUUUUUUUUUUUUUGCGGUACGCGGGCCUCUCACUGCUGUGGCCUCUCCCGUGGCGGAGCACAGGCUCCGGACGCGCAGGCUCAGCGGCCAUGGCUCACGGGCCCAGCCGCUCCGCGGCAUGUGGGAUCUUCCCAGACCGGGGCACGAACCCGUGUCCCCUGCAUCGGCAGGCAGACUGCCAGCCGCUGCGCCACCAGGGAAGCCCCAGCAGAGGUCAUUUUAUGUCUUCCUUUCCCAGCUGGAUGCCUUUGGGGCCAGUUCCCCGGGGAUGGCCCAUUCCACUGGCUCUGCACAGAGAGCCCUCUCCGGCCCGUCUACAUCAGUGUGACUACAUAGGACACUUGUAUUUCCUACUUUAUUCUGCAGAAAGGCCCCGGGCCCCACCGUGAACUUCCCGUUAUCGCAGGCGGCUGUGUGCUGGCCCCCGAGGCCUUCCUGCGGGCAGAAGUGACGGGGCCCUUCUAGAAGUGCGAGCGCUACCGCUACCAUCAGCCUUCACGUGUGCUAUCGUGCCUUCAGGUGCCACAGGGGCAUCUGUGGUCCCAGGCGGAGCCCCAGAAACCCCGAUCAGCGUCAGGGAGACAGUGGGCACACUUCCAUCCCCUGCUGCGGCUAAGAGCUACCGCUACGGCCUGCGUGCCAGGCCCCCCGCCCCCCCAGCCCCUCCCUGCCCGUCGGAGCCAAGAGUCGCCGUCAACGUGAUCAGGGGAGCUGACCCUGGCUUUGGGUUACCGUCCUCCACGCUUUGUGUCUUCACUUCCAGCCCCAAGUGUCCGCACGUGAAGACUUCUGAAUACUGCUUCAGUGGAAUACUGAUUCAGUGGACCUCAGUAGGGCCAUUCAGUAUUUUAAUUGCUUCCAGCCCAUUCUAUUUUUCUAACGAUUUGUCCAUUUCAUCUAUGUUUUCAGAAAUGUUGACAUAUGGUUGUUUACAGCACUCUCUAAUUACCUCUCUUUUUAAAUUGAUGUUUGCACUUCAGAAAAUUUAAAUGUAUAUACAGUAAGAUUCACUCUGCUGCGUUCGGGCCUGUAGGUUUUGACAAACGCACACGGUUGUGUAUCCACCAGAUGCUACAGAAGAGCUCCAUCACCCCCAAUUCCCUCCUGCUGCCCUUGGGAGACAAUCCCUCCCUGACCCCCAACCCCUAGCAACCACUGAUCUAUCUCCCUCUCUCUCAAUUUGUCUCUUCCAGAAUGUCACGUGAAGGGAAUUAUACAGCCUUUUGGGUCUGGUGUCUUUCCCACAGAAAAGGCACUGGAAUUUCAUCCCUGCUGGGCACACGGAUAGCCCCUUCCUCUUACGGCAUCCGUGGACGGACCUCAGGGGUCACCUCCUCACCAGCUGGAGGACACCUGGUUUGUUUCCAGUUUGGGGUGAUCAUAAAUGAAGCUGCUAUAAAGAUUCAUGCAUAGGCUUUUGUGUGAACAUAAGUUUUCCUUUCUCUUGAGGAAAUACUGAGAGUAGAAGUCCUGGGUCACCAGAUGGUGAGAAGUGACCGCGCUCUUCCACGGGGCCGCACCACUUUGCGUUCUCACCUGUGAUAUGUAAGAAAUGUUUGCUUCACAAUUUCGUCAGCAUUUGGUGUUGCCAUUUUAUUCAUGUCACUAGCUUCCACCAUUCUCAUGAGUAUGCGGUGGCAUUGCACUGUGAUUUUAAUUUGCAUUCCCCUAAUGGCAAAGGACGGGGAGCAUCUUUCCAUGUACUUAUUUGCCAUCAUCCGUGCUGUGUUCAGAUCUUUGGUGCAUUUUUUGGGGGGGUGCUGCAUUGGGUCUCCAUUGCUGCGCGUGGGCUUUCUCUAGUUGCGGCGAGCGGGGACUACUCUUCGUUGUGGUGUGCGGGCUUCUCAUUGCGGAGGUUUCUCUUGUAGAGCAUGGGCUCUAGGCUCGCGGGCUUCAGUAGUUGUGGCACGUGGGCUCAGUAGUCGUGGUUCGCGGGCUCUAGAGCGCAGGCUCAGCAGUUGUGGCGCACGGGCUUUGUUGCUCCGCGGCAUGUGGGAUCUUCCCGGACCGGGGCUCGAGCCCGUGUCCCCUGCAUUGGCAGGCGGAUUCUCAACCACUGCGCCACCAGGGAAGCCCCUGGUCCAUUUUUAAAUCGGGUUGCUUGUUCCUUUACCGUUGAGCUCUGGAAGUUCUUUGUAUAUUCCGAAUACAAGUCCUUUAUAACUGAUACACGGUCUGCAACCAUUCUCCAGCAGUCUGUGGCUUCUCAUUUCCUUUUAAAUCUAAAAUUGUAUCUUCUUCUUCUUCUUCUUUUUUCCGGUUCGCGGGCCUCCCACCGCUGUGGCCUCUCCCAUUGCGGAGCACAGGCUCCGGACGCGCAGGCCCAGCGGCCAUGGCUCACGGGCCCAGCCGCUCCGUGGAUGUGGGAUCUUCCCGGACCGGGGCACGAACCCAUGUCCCCUGCAUCGGCAGGCGGACUCCCAACCACUGCGCCACCAGGGAAGCCCCCGUGUCUUCUUUUUGAUUCACAUUGUUUAAUUUGUGUUUUUUCUUUCCUUUUUUUGUGUGUUUAUUUUUCUCAGAAGUUGGUCUGUUUUGUUGGUUGAUUCUUUUCAAAGAACUAACUUUGUCUCCACGGACCUUCUCCAUCACACCUUUGCUUCCUAUGUCAUCCAUUCCCAAGCUUAUUUUUAUUUCUGUUUUCAAACUUUCUUUGGGCUUAUUCUGUCCUGCCCCGCAAAAUCUUCUUUUUCCCCCCAUCAUCUUCCUUUUAUUUGAUUUACAAAAUUCAGGGACACCUUUGCAUUCGGUAUAAAAUCUCCCCUCCUGCCCUUUGCCUCCCCCACCCCACGCCUCCUGAACUUCCUAAGACGGGGAUGCAGCUCACAGACCCUGCGGCUUCCUUCUCUUCCACACAUGCAGCUGGAUACGUAGUGCUUUUUAUUCUCAUUCAGUGCUAGGUAUUUAAAAAUUCCUAUUAUGAUCUCUUCUUUAGCUCACGAGCUUUUAGCAGCACGUGUGUGUUACAGUGCUUGUCUAUAAACAUAUCCCCUACACUGUAUUAUAUUUUCAAACACACGGCACAGUUAGAAGAAUUGUACAGGGAAACCCCACAUACCCAGCACCUACGUGUUACAGUGCACAACUCACUGUCUCUUUCAUUCAUCUCUCCAUCCAUCCAUCCACCCAUCCACCCCUCUGUUCCUCCCUCCUUCCUCCAUCCAUCCAUCUGCCCACCUCUCUAUCCAUCCACUGUGCCCCCUCCCUUUUCCCACUUUCUUAUCUUGAGAGCCUGACUACAACUGGGGGUGCUGCUUCCACACCCCGUGCCCUGGUAAAUGGGAAACCAAGGACAAAGACCUGAUGGCUGGAUCCUUGGGGCUGCUGCCUGCCCACCACCCACCCAAGGGCCUACUGUGGGCUCAGGACAGGGGUCUCAGACAUUCCAGGGGCUCAAAGUUUGCCUCCUAGGAGCAGGCAAAGGCUGAACCUUUCUCUGGACUGUGCAAGGUGUGGACAACCCUGGUCUGCGGGGUUAAUCCUGUACUGCACAGGCCCUGAAAAGGGUCCUCUGAGGGUGACAGUGAAGCCAAGCCUUGCAGGGUGAGUUCAGGGAAGGGCUCAGGAAAGGCUGAACCCUCGGCGACUGGGACACGGGGUGGGAGUGAGGUGGGCAGGGGAGGGGCAGGUGAGCAGGCCCUGGGCAUUGCAGGGAGUGAUGGCCGGGCUCAGGCAAUGCCACAGCGAGAAGUGGGCUAUCCAGCCGACUUGCUCCUCCCUCCGUGGCGCUGGACCCUGGGAAGGCAGGUGUCUGGGGAGGGUCCCAGGGCUGGAGGUUGGCAGCGCCCCCCAGAGGGAGAAGCCUGCUUUGCAGGGCUGCUUCCUGCAGCUGAGCCUUGGUUCAGGGUGGGGGUCACUACUCUAGGCUGGGCUCCCCUCACCUCCUCCCCCGCUGCUCCCCAGAGUGGCCAGGCCCUGGUGACAGACGUGCCCUCCCAGCUGUCCAGCCCCAGGCCCAGGCCCCCACGGCCCCCAGGCUCAGGGCAGAGUCCUCUGGUCCCAGAUGACCUCUCCUGGCUCAGCCACUUCCCCAGUGAGCCUGGGGCCCACCUUCCCCUCCUCCAGCUGGGCCAGCUGUCAGCCCUCUCCGCCCUCCAGAGGCCCAGCUUCCCCGCAGCCUGUUUCUCUUCGGGACAAGGUGGACCAGCAACCAGGGAAUUCUCUUCUCUCCCCGCCCCCACCUCCAUUUUCAUAGGGGAGACAAAGGCAUAGCCUGGGCCAGGUGCUUAAGGUCACCUCACAGGGACACAGCUGGGGACCCCAAGUUCCAUCCACCUAAUGCCCCAAAUAGCCGCCUCCCUGUUCCCCUCUCGCACAGAAACUCCAAAAUGAGGCGAGGAGUCCGCAUCUCGGGAAGCCGCGGGCCGGCCUGGGGAACCGUAUCGGCUCCGCUCCGCCGGCCCCAUCGCGCUGCCUGGUGGCCAUGGAAGACACUGCGCCCUCCGGGCCUCGCUCCCGAGCUGCCUCUCGGCCGCCGGCGGGCGCGGGCGCCUCCCUCGCCUCGCGGCCCAGAGCCCCUGUCCGGGAGGCGUCGGUGACGGCAGAGGAAGGCGGAGAUGCGAAAAUCGAGGCACAACUGGGAUUCGCACCCAAGAUGCAGACGCCGCCCCCAACUCACGUAGAGGUUUGCUCAGAAACAGUUGGUGGGUCAUGACCUGGGGGGGUCGUCACCGAGCCCCAGGGUCUCACCUGUAUGUCGAGCAGGACCCGCCCCCCCCCCUUCCAAGGUGGUGAGAAUUCCCGGCGCAUGUGCCGGCACCCAGGGCCAGGGGCGUCCACUUCCGCAGUCAGAGUCCUCCUGUGCCAGCCCUCCCUGCCCCUCCCCGGGGGAGCGGCAACCCCUCGGGGCGCGGAAACUGGGAGGCGGCGGAGGGGAGACCGGCUCCUGCCAGGGCCGCUCCGGGGGUGCAGGGCUGGGCCCCCGACCCCGCCCUAGGCCCGGGGGCCUCCCCCGCCCCCUCGGGAAUCCAGCUCUCCGCGGGGCCGAGGGGGCCGAGGAGGUGGCGAAGCCGAGCGCGCUGACACACGCGCCUGGAAUUCCCGGGGUGGGGGCGGCCGCCGGCCUCCGCGACCCCUCCGAACUGGGCCGGCCCCAGCCCGCGGGGGCAAGAGGAGGCCGGCUCCCCGACGGGGCGGGGCGCGCAGCGAGUGUCUCCUCCCCUCAGGGCCGCCAGGCGCGGUGCCUCCAGGUGCUGCAGCCCUGCCGCCCUGCGCGUUCCCACCCGCACCUCACAGCCACCGCGCCACUGGUGCGCAUCCCAGCUGCCUCGGUUGCCCGCUCUGUGCCAGGGGCGUUCCUUCCAUCACUGCAGGGGUCACCAGGGUCUGGGAGUUGAUACAUGGACGGUGUCUGGAACGGUGUCUGGUGAACCCCCAGUGAGGGGGGCUUGUUACAGCUGCCGUGGAGGAGAGACAGGCCGCGGGACCCAGCGACAGAGCCCCGUCCACACCCCUUUGGGUCGGCUCACACGUGCUUGUGUGGGGAUGGGUCACACAAGGGUGUGUGCCCUGUGCUCCUUUGUGUGUGACGGUGUGGGCAUGUGAGUGUGUGCUGGUGUGAAUGUAUGCUCACGCGAGCAUGCACGUGUGUCCAUGUGCCCACAGGAGUGUGAGUGUGUACACACACACAUGUUGGCCACUUCCAUGGCGAGUUGUGCAGUGCAGUGGGGGGUCAUGGGUGCCACACACACACACACACACACCCUGUCAGCCCUCACCAAGGAGCACUUUGCCAUCUGGGGGUCCAGGCGUGUGUGGUGGGCCCAGCUCCUGGGGAGGGCAGGCCUGUGCCCCAGCCACAGAUAUUCAGCCCAGCUCAUCCUCCAGGCCAAGGGAUCCCUGAGCUGAGGUGACAACAGAGCCCAGGAAGGGGAGCCAGCACAGGAAGACCCCAGUCCUGACACACAGGCCACUGGCACCAAGGAUGGGGGGCGCUCACCGAAGGCCAGGACUGACUGGUCCCAGGGAGGAAGGGUCCUCUGGGCAGAAAUGCUGGGGAGCUGGUGGCCUUCAGGGACACUGUCACCAGAACCAGAAGAACUGUGGUGCAUGGAGCCCCCUCCCUGGAGGAUGUGCCCCACACCCACUGGCAGUGGGAGGAGCGGGGGUCUCAGGCUACAAGCCAAGGCUUGUGCUUUUGCCCUGUGUCCAGAGGCCAGGCAGGUGUCCCCGAACCCCAGCCCAGCCCUUUACCCAAAGGCCAGCGCGGCCCCAUGGACUGGCCUGGCCCCUCUUUGGCCUGUGAGCCCCGCCCUUCCAGGCUCCGCUCUGUGCUCCCCCCCCGUGGUUUUGGGGGCCGGUGGAUGACCCUGGGUUCCGUCCACCCCAGCCUCAUCCCUCCUGCCCCGACCAUCAGUCUGCUGGCUCUGACCAGACAGGCAGCGUGGUGCCUGUGGCAGGACCCCAGGCAGGGGCGGGGAGGCGAGGGGGGAGCCCGGGCGGACAGGGAGCCCCACCACCCAUUCACUCACCAAAGCCCCAUUCAAAAGGCACUGGGGGCCUCCAGGCCAGCGCGCUGGUGGCUGCCCAGGGACGGGUUAGAGUCAGGGUGGGCCUCUGAGGCUGGAGGAUGGGAAAGGCCCCCCGAGGCGACACGCACUCGGGUCUGAAAGGGAGUGGGCGCUGCAGUCUCCCGAAGACCUCGGGAGCCUGGCCAGCGCUUCUCCCAGCCUGGACUGGCAGAGGCCUCAGGCUGACCACAUCCCACAGCUGAGCACCCGCAGGGCAUCUGCACCCCGCAUAGCUGGGGCUGCCCUCCUCUCAUGUGCAGACCCAGCCCUAGUCCCUGCUUCCCCUGCGGGCAUCCUCCAGGGACCGUGUGCCUCGGCCCUAAUGGCCUUCAGCUACCCGCAGGAUCCGCUCCAAACUCCUGGCCGGUUGUUUGCAGCCUCCCCUGCACGAACCAUCCCCCAGGGACGCUGCUCCGGCCCAGCAGCCCCACUGCCUGUGGCCCCCACAGCUCAGUCCCCAGGGCCUGCCCACUGCCCUGCCCCUCUCCCCAUCCCCUCUUCAGGUCCUUCCUCACCCACCUGGCAAAGGCUCUUCCCUCACCCAAGGGCAGAGGGCAGGUGGCUUCAUACCACCAGUGGCCACCAGGGGGCGCCAUGUCUUGGAUGUGGCGUUGGGGUGCAUCAGAGCCUCUUACCUGGGAGCUGGGAGUGGGGACUGGGGUCAGAAAAGACUGACCGUUGGCUGCCGCCUUCUGGGCUUCUUGACGGCUCUGCCAGGUGGUUACUGUGAGCCCACUCCCCAGGUGAGGAAACUGAGGCCGGAGACGGGGAUGCCACCCAGCCUGGCUCUUGGGAAAGUAAGGUUCGGGUCUCUAAGGGUUCUCCAAGUCCACCUUGUAUCUGCUGUGUUGCCUCCACCUUGCUGUGUGACUGGGAAAGUCACCUGACCUCUCUGGUGCUCAGUUCCUCCACCUGUAAAGUGGGGGUGGGAAGGCAUUGCCUUGGCCGGGCAGGGCCAGCCACUAGUCAGAGCGCGGGGCUCUGCCUCCAGCCUGUGCUGGCUGGUCUCUGUCCCCCUCCUCUGGAGCAGGGCUCCACCCCCACUCCCAGCACGGGUGCCUCUGAAGGCUGCCACCUCAGUAGGCCAGGCCUUGUGCCCGUAGGGUGGGGGUCUGCAGGGCAGUUCAGCUCUGCUCCAGCCAGCAGGGAACAGACUCUUCCAGGGUGCUUCUGGGGCUGCAACCAGGACAGGCGAGGUCGCCUUCCUGCCAGCGAGCGAGUCACCGCAGGCUGAGUGCGUACGUGUGUGAGCGCAUCUGA
This is a long non-coding RNA of Orcinus orca (killer whale), 7961 nucleotides long. RefSeq lists it as uncharacterized. The transcript is spliced from 3 exons. The record is from RefSeq and is a predicted model, not a curated record. Lineage: Eukaryota; Metazoa; Chordata; Mammalia; Artiodactyla; Delphinidae.